GGGGUACUCGAGUGGCGAACGGGUGAGUAACACGUGGGCAAUCUGCCCUGCACUUCGGGAUAAGCCUGGGAAACUGGGUCUAAUACCGGAUAGGACCUUUAGGCGCAUGCCUUUUGGUGGAAAGCUUUUGCGGUGUGGGAUGGGCCCGCGGCCUAUCAGCUUGUUGGUGGGGUGAUGGCCUACCAAGGCGACGACGGGUAGCCGGCCUGAGAGGGUGUCCGGCCACACUGGGACUGAGAUACGGCCCAGACUCCUACGGGAGGCAGCAGUGGGGAAUAUUGCACAAUGGGCGCAAGCCUGAUGCAGCGACGCCGCGUGGGGGAUGACGGCCUUCGGGUUGUAAACCUCUUUCACCAUCGACGAAGGUCCGGGUUUUCUCGGAUUGACGGUAGGUGGAGAAGAAGCACCGGCCAACUACGUGCCAGCAGCCGCGGUAAUACGUAGGGUGCGAGCGUUGUCCGGAAUUACUGGGCGUAAAGAGCUCGUAGGUGGUUUGUCGCGUUGUUCGUGAAAUCUCACGGCUUAACUGUGAGCGUGCGGGCGAUACGGGCAGACUAGAGUACUGCAGGGGAGACUGGAAUUCCUGGUGUAGCGGUGGAAUGCGCAGAUAUCAGGAGGAACACCGGUGGCGAAGGCGGGUCUCUGGGCAGUAACUGACGCUGAGGAGCGAAAGCGUGGGGAGCGAACAGGAUUAGAUACCCUGGUAGUCCACGCCGUAAACGGUGGGUACUAGGUGUGGGUUUCCUUCCUUGGGAUCCGUGCCGUAGCUAACGCAUUAAGUACCCCGCCUGGGGAGUACGGCCGCAAGGCUAAAACUCAAAGGAAUUGACGGGGGCCCGCACAAGCGGCGGAGCAUGUGGAUUAAUUCGAUGCAACGCGAAGAACCUUACCUGGGUU
RNAcentral lists this ribosomal RNA (897 nucleotides) under Mycobacterium intracellulare. RNAcentral describes it as "bacterial SSU rRNA". It matches the Rfam family "Bacterial small subunit ribosomal RNA", at positions 84 to 981 of the family's 1533-position model. The record is from RNAcentral. Lineage: Bacteria; Bacillati; Actinomycetota; Actinomycetes; Mycobacteriales; Mycobacteriaceae.